UGGGGGAUAUUGCACAAUGAGCGAAAGCCUGAUGCAGCGACGCCGCGUGGGGGAUGAAGGCCUUCGGGUUGUAAACUUCUUUUGCUCUGAACAAGGCAUGCCUUUGGGGUGUGUUGAGUGUAGGGGUUGAUUAGCGCCGGCUAACUACGUGCCAGCAGCCGCGGUAAUACGUAGGGCGCGAGCGUUGUCCGGAAUUAUUGGGCGUAAAGGGCUUGUAGGUGGCUGGUUGCGUCUGUCGUGAAAGCUCAUGGCUUAACUGUGGGUUUGCGGUGGGUACGGGCUGGCUUGAGUGCAGUAGGGGAGGCUGGAAUUCCUGGUGUAGCGGUGGAAUGCGCAGAUAUCAGGAGGAAUACCGGUGGCGAAGGCGGGUCUCUGGGCUGUUACUGACGCUGAGGAGCGAAAGCGUGGGGAGCGAACAGG
RNAcentral lists this ribosomal RNA (420 nucleotides) under Fusobacteriota bacterium. RNAcentral's name for it is "Fusobacteria bacterium partial 16S ribosomal RNA". It matches the Rfam family "Bacterial small subunit ribosomal RNA", at positions 355 to 776 of the family's 1533-position model. The record is from RNAcentral. Lineage: Bacteria; Fusobacteriati; Fusobacteriota.